This is a non-coding RNA of Lactuca sativa (garden lettuce), 2417 nucleotides long. The record is from RefSeq and is a predicted model, not a curated record. NCBI's taxonomy places the organism in Eukaryota, Viridiplantae, Streptophyta, Magnoliopsida, Asterales, Asteraceae.
UUUUCUAAUGAGAUCAAUGUGCGUUUCCACCGCUUCAUUUCCGUGUUAGCCAAUAAGAAAAAGAUUGGUGUCCAUACAUGUGUUAAGCACCGUUUUUUUUUAUCGGUUUUGGAUCCGGCCACCUUUACCCCAUCCACCAUCAUUCAUCUCCCUCUCUUUAACCUCUAUCGGAAGGAAAAUGAGUAUCGUCUCCAUCAUCUCUGCCAGUCUCCUCAACUUUUGGUGUUUGGGAUUAUACAACUGUCUUUAUCGCCGUUCACCCAAUCUCCAUGACGAUUUUAGGGUUUGAUUGCAGAUAAAUAUAUGGAGGGUGGAAGUACUGAUAAAAUAAUGGCAGUUAAAAAGGACUGGAGCAAUUAGACGUGGUUGAGAUGGAGGUGAAAGUCACCGAUUAGAUAGGUCAGAAAAAGGAGAGUCGCCGAUUAGACUGGAGCAAUCAUACGCAUAUUUAUCUAAUUUUGAAAAACAUGCAUUUGAUUGCAGAGCAUAGUCACCGCCUCCACCUCCUACCUCCGUCUUCGUUCUUGUCGAUGCUUCCGCCUCCUACCUCCCUUCAGCACCGUCCUCCUCCUCCUCUGCGUAAUCACUAUUGGCGUCUCCGGAAGGUAGGAUUGACCACCAGCUUUCGUUCUUGUCGAUGCUUUUCAUGAUAAAUGAACACUAACUUUUGAAACACUGAUCAAUGGAUGGUGGUAUAUUUAUCGCUUCUGUAACAAAUGUUAUAAGAAGCUCAAUGGAUGGUGGUAUAUUUAUCGGAGAAUCACUUGUAGAAAGAAAGUGGAAGAAAUUGGAAUGUUUCUCGCUGAUAGUCAGUGAGCUUCUCCUUUUGCUCUACAAUUGUCGAUUUGUGAUUUGCACCAAGUAAUGAAACGUGUCUGCAUCACUUUCUUCCUCUAUCUCUUACCGUCAUUGAUUGCUCCUGCUGUGUUCAUCGCGGUUUGGCUGACGGAUUCCACGUUUUAGAGGCGUAUGUAUAUGUUUAUAUCGCCUGGCAUUCACAGGUCCCUUCUAUCCUUUUUAGUAAAUUUGUGUGAUUGAAUACAUUUCGUUGCGUAUAGUAUAAAUUUUUUCAUUUUGAUUACAUAAAAGAAUAUGUGGAAAUUCAAAGAAUUUUGCGUUGUGUAUUAUGAAAUGUCUUUUUAUGUCCGUUUCUUUUCAGUAAUAAGGUUUGCAAUACCAACUGGAGAUCUAAAAACACUCUCAGAUGUUGAUCUCAAACUCAUUGCCUUGACUCAUACAUUGGAAUCCCAGAUCCAUACAGUGGUUUACUUCUCAAAUUUUGUAUUCAUUUUAUAGGGUUUUUUGCUUUCUCGAUUUUGGGGCAAGAUGGAGGUUGGGAAUCAGAACCCAUGAAGACUGUUGUCAAAAAUUCAUGAAGUCUGCGGACCACCUCUGCAAUCCUCUGUAGUAGAAGAGGUGGACCAAACGGCUGCAGAAUCAAUAAAAAAAAGAAGAAGAAGAGGUUGGAAGAGGUAGUACAAGUGUUGCGCCAAACAGAGCACGCACAGAGAUUUUGACUCAGAAGACUUCUAAAAAACAAACAGUUGCAAGAUGAAAAGUGUUACGCGUGUGCUGCGCUGCGCAGCAAUAAGAGGCUACAUUGAAUUAUUGGAUGAUAGUUCUCAUAUUGUGGUUCCACAAGAUGAUUAUGGACUACAUGCCAUUGAUAUUUUUGAUCCUUCAUGUAUGUAAAUCAUUUCAUGAGAUGAUUGUUAUGCUUAUUAAAUGUGGAUUCAAGAAAAGGAACCACCUUAUUUGGAUAUGGAUACAACUUCCUACAAAGCAAUAGGUGCACCAAGAUGCAUCAAUGAAUGCCUCUUAACCGGGUUACAGUUUGUUGAGGGACUUGAAAGUCUUUAUGUCAAGUUGCCAACAAAUCGGUUUGGUGGCAAGUUGAAGACAUGAGUUGGCUGCUGACGAUGAGGCGUCUAGAGCUUUAUCAUAAAGAAACAAAGAUCCUUCUCAAGCUUCAAGACCAUGGGGUCCUGAUGGAUUUGUUAUGGAUGAAGGUGCUGGGGUUCUGCUAUUGGAAGAAGUUGAGAAUGCUAAGGUGUUGGUCUUAUUUUUUGCAUGGAGAAACCUUUAUCUCGGUUUGGCGUAGCAGGGGAAGAUGUGAAUUACAUAAACUCACAUGCCACAUCAAAGCCAGCUAGCGACCUUAAGGAAUACAGUUCUCUUCUUCAUUGUUUUGGCAAUAAUUAAGAGUUACGAGUCAACUCUACAAAAUCCAUGAUUGGUCACCUUCUAGAAACAGUUGCUGGUGUUGAAGCUGUAGCAACUGUAGACGUAUAUUUAAAUUUUAUAUUUAAAAUUUUAAUUUCUUUCCUAAUAAUGCUAUAUCUCCUUACUUGGAAAGAUUUGUAAGUUCAAAUGACUUAUUGCCCUGAUUAAAUACAAUAAAUACCAACAUGCGUCUA